AAAGGAAUUGACGGGGGCCCGCACAAGCGGUGGAGCAUGAGGUUUAAUUCGAAGCAACGCGCAGAACCUUACCAUCCUUUGACAUGGCGUGUUAUGGGGAGAGAUUCCCAGUCCACUUUGGUGGCGCGCACACAGGUGCUGCAUGGCUGUCGUCAGCUCGUGUCGUGAGAUGUUGGGUUAAGUCCCGCAACGAGCGCAACCCACGUCCUUAGUUGCCAUCAUUCAGUUGGGCACUCUAGGGAGACUGCCGGUGAUAAGCCGCGAGGAAGGUGUGGAUGACGUCAAGUCCUCAUGGCCCUUACGGGAUGGGCUACACACGUGCUACAAUGGCGGUGACAGUGGGACGCGAAGGGGCGACCUGGAGCAAAUCCCCAAAAGCCGUCUCAGUUCGGAUUGCACUCUGCAACUCGGGUGCAUGAAGGCGGAAUCGCUAGUAAUCGUGGAUCAGCAUGCCACGGUGAAUACGUUCCCGGGCCUUGUACACACGCGCCCGUCACACCAUGGGAGUUGGUCUUACCCGACGGCGCUGCGCCAACCGCAAGGGGGCAGGCGACCACGGUAGGGUCAGCGACUGGGGUGAAGUCGUAACAAGGUACC
This 597-nucleotide ribosomal RNA is filed under the name uncultured Alphaproteobacteria bacterium. Its description in RNAcentral is "bacterial SSU rRNA". It matches the Rfam family "Bacterial small subunit ribosomal RNA", at positions 903 to 1500 of the family's 1533-position model. The record is from RNAcentral. Lineage: Bacteria; Pseudomonadati; Pseudomonadota; Alphaproteobacteria.